RNAcentral lists this ribosomal RNA (525 nucleotides) under uncultured bacterium. Its description in RNAcentral is "bacterial SSU rRNA". It matches the Rfam family "Bacterial small subunit ribosomal RNA", at positions 28 to 526 of the family's 1533-position model. The record is from RNAcentral.
GACGAACGCUGGCGGCGUGCCUAAUACAUGCAAGUCGAACGCUUUUUCUUUCACCGGAGCUUGCUCCACCGAAAGAAAAGGAGUGGCGAACGGGUGAGUAACACGUGGGUAACCUGCCCAUCAGAAGGGGAUAACACUUGGAAACAGGUGCUAAUACCGUAUAACAAUCGAAACCGCAUGGUUUCGGUUUGAAAGGCGCUUUUGCGUCACUGAUGGAUGGACCCGCGGUGCAUUAGCUAGUUGGUGAGGUAACGGCUCACCAAGGCAACGAUGCAUAGCCGACCUGAGAGGGUGAUCGGCCACAUUGGGACUGAGACACGGCCCAAACUCCUACGGGAGGCAGCAGUAGGGAAUCUUCGGCAAUGGACGGAAGUCUGACCGAGCAACGCCGCGUGAGUGAAGAAGGUUUUCGGAUCGUAAAGCUCUGUUGUUAGAGAAGAACAAGUGUGAAAGUAACUAGUCACACCGUGACGGUAUCUAACCAGAAAGCCACGGCUAACUACGUGCCAGCAGCCGCAGUAAUAC